GACGAACGCUGGCGGCGUGCUUAACACAUGCAAGUCGAACGGAAAGGCCUUGCUUUUGUGGGUGCUCGAGUGGCGAACGGGUGAGUAACACGUGAGUAACCUGCCCUUGACUUUGGGAUAACUUCAGGAAACUGGGGCUAAUACCGGAUAGGAGCUCCUGCUGCAUGGUGGGGGUUGGAAAGUUUCGGCGGUUGGGGAUGGACUCGCGGCUUAUCAGCUUGUUGGUGGGGUAGUGGCUUACCAAGGCUUUGACGGGUAGCCGGCCUGAGAGGGUGACCGGCCACAUUGGGACUGAGAUACGGCCCAGACUCCUACGGGAGGCAGCAGUGGGGAAUAUUGCACAAUGGGCGGAAGCCUGAUGCAGCAACGCCGCGUGCGGGAUGACGGCCUUCGGGUUGUAAACCGCUUUCGCCUGUGACGAAGCGUGAGUGACGGUAAUGGGUAAAGAAGCACCGGCUAACUACGUG
RNAcentral lists this ribosomal RNA (467 nucleotides) under uncultured bacterium. RNAcentral's name for it is "partial 16S ribosomal RNA". It matches the Rfam family "Bacterial small subunit ribosomal RNA", at positions 28 to 507 of the family's 1533-position model. The record is from RNAcentral.